CAGUGGCGAACGGCUCACCGCCAAAAUACUUCUGCCUGCGUAUGGCUCGGUGGGGAGCGAUUCAAAUACGUCAAGCACAGGAUGUUGAAGACGACCUAUCGUCUUCAUUCUAGUACCUACACGCAAGCGUCAGUUGCCAACUGGGAUACCUCAAAUAUCAUCACACAGAAUUACGCAAGAACCAUCCGACGGUCAGUAAGAUGACCUCAACACGUCAGUUCGAGAGCUCGUUUGAAGUAAUCGCUUUACAUCUACGGGGUUGUCAUUUAUAUAAUCGAUUCGAUGCCACUAUGUAGACCGGCUAAGUAGCUUUUGAAGCGAAUCCGCACAGUGCGGCUGUUUCCUGCACUACGCCCUGAUGGCCUGUUGGGGCCGACCUCCACUUAGCUUUCCCCAGCGAUAUUAGACGGGACUUUGCCAUCUAGCGGAAGUCGAUGGAACGUCAGGCAUAUAUAUAUAUAUAUAUAUAUAUAUAGUCAAAUAGGCAGACCAGCUUUCAAGAGGUACAACAAGAGAAUACGAAACGAUGUACAGGACACAGUGAUAUGCAACACUCACGAG
RNA transcript from Varroa destructor (honeybee mite), 561 nucleotides. RefSeq lists it as uncharacterized. NCBI's taxonomy places the organism in Eukaryota, Metazoa, Arthropoda, Arachnida, Mesostigmata, Varroidae. The record is from RefSeq and is a predicted model, not a curated record.